RNAcentral lists this long non-coding RNA (309 nucleotides) under Medicago truncatula (barrel medic). RNAcentral describes it as "long non-coding RNA (MTRU_LNC006941)". The record is from RNAcentral. Lineage: Eukaryota; Viridiplantae; Streptophyta; Magnoliopsida; Fabales; Fabaceae.
UGUCUACGAUGAACAUGAGUGAGUAGACUUCUUAUGUCUUGGGAUUGUUGGAUAAGUCUAAUGACAUAAUCCUAAUCAAGUCAAGCCUUAAACCUUAAUAUUAUGUAACCCUAGUUUCUCUUCUAAAUUCACCGUUUUAACAUGGAUUAAAUAUUUUCAAACUGUGGAAACGAAAGUGGAAGGUUUGAUAAUCGUUAAUCCAUUAUUCCAAAUGUUAAUUCAUAAAACGAAAGUGGAGCUUUAAUAUUCGAUCAAGUGAAUUUAGACAAGGAUUGUGAAACAUGAAAAUAGUCUAGUGAACCUUGAGAC